This 506-nucleotide ribosomal RNA is filed under the name uncultured bacterium. RNAcentral's name for it is "partial 16S ribosomal RNA". It matches the Rfam family "Bacterial small subunit ribosomal RNA", at positions 29 to 523 of the family's 1533-position model. The record is from RNAcentral.
AGUGAACGCUGGCGGUAGGCCUAACACAUGCAAGUCGAACGGCAGCACAGGAGAGCUUGCUCUCUGGGUGGCGAGUGGCGGACGGGUGAGGAAUACAUCGGAAUCUACUCUGUCGUGGGGGAUAACGUAGGGAAACUUACGCUAAUACCGCAUACGACCUACGGGUGAAAGCAGGGGACCUUCGGGCCUUGCGCGAUUGAAUGAGCCGAUGUCGGAUUAGCUAGUUGGCGGGGUAAAGGCCCACCAGGGCGACGAUCCGUAGCUGGUCUGAGAGGAUGAUCAGCCACACUGGAACUGAGACACGGUCCAGACUCCUACGGGAGGCAGCAGUGGGGAAUAUUGGACAAUGGGCGCAAGCCUGAUCCAGCCAUGCCGCGUGGGUGAAGAAGGCCUUCGGGUUGUAAAGCCCUUUUGUUGGGAAAGAAAUCCAGCUGGCUAGUACCCGGUUGGGAUGACGGUACCCAAAGAAUAAGCACCGGCUAACUUCGUGCCAGCCGCCGCGGUAA